This 694-nucleotide ribosomal RNA is filed under the name uncultured archaeon. Its description in RNAcentral is "bacterial SSU rRNA". It matches the Rfam family "Archaeal small subunit ribosomal RNA", at positions 29 to 730 of the family's 1478-position model. The record is from RNAcentral.
GCUAUCGAGGUUCGACUAAGCCAUGCGAGUCGAAUGUAGCAAUACAUGGCGAACUGCUCAGUAACACGUGGACAACCUGCCCUUAGGACGGGGAUAAACCCGGGAAACUGGGUAUAAUACCCCAUAGAUCUCGAAAGCUGGAAUGCUUCAAGAUCCAAAACUCCGGUGCCCAAGGAUUGGUCUGCGGCGUAUCAGGUUGUAGUGGGUGUAACGGACCCCCUAGCCUAUGACGCGUAAGGGCCUUGAGAGAGGGAGCCCUGAGAUGGACUCUGAGACAUGAGUCCAGGCCCUACGGGGCGCAGCAGUCGCGAAAACUUCACAAUGGGGGAAACCCCGAUGAGGGAAUUCCAAGUGCCAGCACAUUGUGUUGGCUGUUCUCUGGUCUAAAAAACCGGAGAAGUAAGGGCCGGGUAAGACGGGUGCCAGCCGCCGCGGUAAUACCCGCGGCCCAAGUGGUGGUCGAUAUUAUUGAGCCUAAAACGUCCGUAGCCGGUCUUGUAAAUCCUUGGGUAAAUCGACCAGCUUAACUGUUCGAAGUCCGGGGAGACUGCAAGACUUGGGAUCGGGAGAGGUGAGAGGUACUUCUGGGGUAGGGGUAAAAUCCUGUAAUCCUAGAAGGACCACCGGUGGCGAAGGCGUCUCACUAGAACGAAUCCGACGGUGAGGGACGAAGCCCUGGGGCGCAAACGGGAUU